GUACGAAGGGUAGGCUAGUGGACAUGGCAUCUGCCCGGUAAGCGGAACAUUGUGGUUUCGAUUCCCAUCCCUGGACA
This 77-nucleotide transfer RNA is filed under the name Cordylochernes scorpioides. Its description in RNAcentral is "tRNA-Thr". The record is from RNAcentral. Lineage: Eukaryota; Metazoa; Arthropoda; Arachnida; Pseudoscorpiones; Chernetidae.